This 447-nucleotide ribosomal RNA is filed under the name uncultured bacterium. Its description in RNAcentral is "bacterial SSU rRNA". It matches the Rfam family "Bacterial small subunit ribosomal RNA", at positions 355 to 825 of the family's 1533-position model. The record is from RNAcentral.
UGGGGAAUAUUGGACAAUGGGCGAAAGCCUGAUCCAGCCAUGUCGCGUGAGUGACGAAGGCCUUAGGGUUGUAAAACUCUUUCGUCGGGGACGAUAAUGACGGUACCCGAAGAAGAAGCUCCGGCUAACUUCGUGCCAGCAGCCGCGGUAAUACGAAGGGAGCUAGCGUUGUUCGGAAUCACUGGGCGUAAAGCGCACGUAGGCGGAUAGUUAAGUCAGGGGUGAAAUCCUGGGGCUCAACCCCAGAACUGCCUUUGAUACUGGCUGUCUCGAGGUCGAGAGAGGUUGGUGGAAUUCCUAGUGUAGAGGUGAAAUUCGUAGAUAUUAGGAAGAACACCAGUGGCGAAGGCGGCCAACUGGCUCGAUACUGACGCUGAGGUGCGAAAGCGUGGGGAGCAAACAGGAUUAGAUACCCCUGUAGUCCCUGAGCGGGCUGGCAAGGCGCAU